UACGUAGGGGGCAAGCGUUAUCCGGAUUUACUGGGUGUAAAGGGAGCGUAGACGGCAGGGCAAGUCUGAUGUGAAAGGUCGGGGCCCAACCCCGGGACUGCAUUGGAAACUGUCCGGCUGGAAUACAGGAGAGGUAAGUGGAAUUCCUAGUGUAGCGGUGAAAUGCGUAGAUAUUAGGAGGAACACCAGUGGCGAAGGCGGCUUACUGGACUGUAACUGACGUUGAGGCUCGAAAGCGUGGGGAGCAAACAGG
RNAcentral lists this ribosomal RNA (253 nucleotides) under uncultured bacterium. Its description in RNAcentral is "partial 16S ribosomal RNA". It matches the Rfam family "Bacterial small subunit ribosomal RNA", at positions 524 to 776 of the family's 1533-position model. The record is from RNAcentral.